GUCUUUUUGAUAAUAAUAUAAAGUCUGACCUGCCCAAUGAAUAUUAAUUUUAAUGGCCGCGAUAUUUUGAUCGUGCAAAGGUAGCAUAAUCAUUAGUUUCUUAAUUAGGAACUGGUAUGAAAGGUUGAACGAGAAAAAUACUGUCUCAAUUUAAUUUUAUUAGAAUUUUAUUUUUAAGUAAAAAAGCUUAAAUUUAUUUAAAAGACGAGAAGACCCUAUAGAGUUUUAUAUUUUAUUAUAUUAAUAAAAGUUAAAGUAUUUUUUUUUUUAUUAUAAUAAAGUAUUUAGUUGGGGUGACUAAAAAAUUAAAUUAACUUUUUUUAUUUAUUUUACAUUUAUAUAUGAAUAAGUGAUCCAUAAGUUAUGAUUAAAAGAUUAAAUUACCUUAGGGAUAACAGCGUAAUUUUUUUUAAGAGUUCUUAUCGAAAAAAAAGUUUGCGACCUCGAUGUUGGAUUAAAAUUUACUUUUGGUGUAGGUGCUAAAAAAGUUAGGUCUGUUCGACCUUUAAAAUUUUACA
RNAcentral lists this ribosomal RNA (518 nucleotides) under Tiniocellus sp. BMNH676999. RNAcentral describes it as "partial 16S ribosomal RNA". It matches the Rfam family "Bacterial large subunit ribosomal RNA", at positions 1819 to 2600 of the family's 2925-position model. The record is from RNAcentral. Lineage: Eukaryota; Metazoa; Arthropoda; Insecta; Coleoptera; Scarabaeidae.